UAUGUAAUGCCAGCAGCCGCGGUAAUACGGAAGGUCCGGGCGUUAUCCGGAUUUAUUGGGUUUAAAGGGAGCGUAGGCCGGAGAUUAAGCGUGUUGUGAAAUGUAGACGCUCAACGUCUGCACUGCAGCGCGAACUGGUUUCCUUGAGUACGCACAAAGUGGGCGGAAUUCGUGGUGUAGCGGUGAAAUGCUUAGAUAUCACGAAGAACUCCGAUUGCGAAGGCAGCUCACUGGAGCGCAACUGACGCUGAAGCUCGAAAGUGCGGGUAUCGAACAGG
RNAcentral lists this ribosomal RNA (278 nucleotides) under Segatella copri DSM 18205. RNAcentral's name for it is "Prevotella copri DSM 18205 partial 16S ribosomal RNA". It matches the Rfam family "Bacterial small subunit ribosomal RNA", at positions 502 to 776 of the family's 1533-position model. The record is from RNAcentral. Lineage: Bacteria; Pseudomonadati; Bacteroidota; Bacteroidia; Bacteroidales; Prevotellaceae.